Molecule: non-coding RNA, 30 nt
Filed under: Mus musculus (house mouse)
Lineage: Eukaryota; Metazoa; Chordata; Mammalia; Rodentia; Muridae
Source: RNAcentral
UGGGACUGUUCUGGGUAACUUGAUGUUAGC